This 402-nucleotide ribosomal RNA is filed under the name bacterium. Its description in RNAcentral is "partial 16S ribosomal RNA". It matches the Rfam family "Bacterial small subunit ribosomal RNA", at positions 355 to 776 of the family's 1533-position model. The record is from RNAcentral.
UGGGGAAUUUUGCACAAUGGGGGAAACCCUGAUGCAGCGACGCCGCGUGAUUUAGAAGGCCUUCGGGUUGUAAAAAUCUUUUCUAUGGGAAGAAAAUGACAGUACCAUAGGAAUAAGGACCGGCUAAUUACGUGCCAGCAGCCGCGGUAAUACGUAAGGUCCGAGCGUUGUCCGGAAUCAUUGGGCGUAAAGGGUACGUAGGCGGGUAAGCAAGUUAGAAGUGAAAUCCUAUAGCGCAACUAUAGUAAGCUUUUAAAACUGCUCAUCUUGAGGUAUGGAAGUGAAAGUGGAAUUCCUAGUGUAGCGGUGAAAUGCGCAGAUAUUAGGAGGAAUACCGGUGGCGAAGGCGACUUUCUGGCCAUAACCUGACGCUGAGGUACGAAAGCGUGGGUAGCAAGCAGG